UUCGCUUUCGCUCUUUUCAGUCGAGGCCGACCCCUGAGUUAGGACAAAAGCAUGUCUUCCCUUCCUGGGUGCAUUGGUUUGGAUGCAGCAACAGCUACAGUGGAGUCUGAAGAGAUUGCAGAGCUGCAACAGGCAGUGGUUGAGGAACUGGGUAUCUCUAUGGAGGAACUUCGGCAUUUCAUCGAUGAGGAACUGGAGAAGAUGGAUUGUGUACAGCAACGCAAGAAGCAGCUAGCAGAGUUAGAGACAUGGGUAAUACAGAAAGAAUCUGAGGUGGCUCAAGUUGACCAACUCUUUGAUGAUGCAUCAAGGGCAGUGACUAAUUGUGAGUCUUUGGUGAAGGACUUCUACUCCAAGCUGGGACUACAAUACCGGGACAGUAGCUCUGAGGACGAAUCUUCCCGGCCUACAGAAAUAAUUGAGAUUCCUGAUGAAGAUGAUGAUGUCCUCAGUAUUGAUUCAGGCAAAAUCCUGACAGAUGACUUUGCAGACAAGGAGGGUCUGGAAAUGGGUGAUGAGUACUUUGCAAAUCUGGACCAUAUCGAGAGCGUGGAGAACUUCAAAGAAGGAUAUGAGAGUGAUGCCCCCUGUUCCUCUGACAGCAGUGGUGUAGACUUGAAGGACCAGGAAGAUGGCAACAGCGGUACAGAGGACCCUGAAGAGUCCAAUGAUGAUAGCUCAGAUGAUAACUUCUGUAAAGAUGAGGACUUCAGCACCAGUUCAGUGUGGCGGAGCUAUGCUACCCGGAGGCAGACCCGGGGCCAGAAAGAGAACGGACUCUCUGAGACAAC
This 791-nucleotide small RNA is filed under the name Pongo abelii (Sumatran orangutan). RNAcentral describes it as "processed transcript". Lineage: Eukaryota; Metazoa; Chordata; Mammalia; Primates; Hominidae. The record is from RNAcentral.